CGGAGGGUGCGAGCGUUGUCCGGAAUCACUGGGCGUAAAGGGCGCGUAGGCGGCCUGAUAAGUAGGGGGUGAAAUCCUGCGGCUUAACCGCAGGGCUGCCUUCUAAACUGUCAGGCUAGAGCACGGUAGAGGCAGAUGGAAUUCCCGGUGUAGCGGUGGAAUGCGUAGAGAUCGGGAAGAACAUCAGUGGCGAAGGCGGUCUGCUGGGCCGUUGCUGACGCUGAGGCGCGACAGCGUGGGGAGCAAACAGGAUUAGAUACCCUGGUAGUCCACGCCGUAAACGAUGGGCACUAGGCGUCGGGGGGAGCGACCCUCCCGGUGCCGUCGCUAACGCAGUAAGUGCCCCGCCUGGGGAGUACGGCCGCAAGGCUG
This 372-nucleotide ribosomal RNA is filed under the name uncultured organism. Its description in RNAcentral is "bacterial SSU rRNA". It matches the Rfam family "Bacterial small subunit ribosomal RNA", at positions 526 to 896 of the family's 1533-position model. The record is from RNAcentral.